GGAGAAGUGGCUGAGCUGGCCGAAGGCACUCCCCUGCUAAGGGAGCAUUCGGGAUUAAAACCGAAUCGAGGGUUCGAAUCCCUCCUUCUCCGCCA
Molecule: transfer RNA, 95 nt
Filed under: Firmicutes bacterium ADurb.BinA205
Lineage: Bacteria; Bacillati; Bacillota
Also listed under: 1 other name
Description: tRNA-Ser
Rfam family: tRNA
About the family: Transfer RNA (tRNA) molecules are approximately 80 nucleotides in length. Their secondary structure includes four short double-helical elements and three loops (D, anti-codon, and T loops).
Source: RNAcentral